RNAcentral lists this ribosomal RNA (429 nucleotides) under Chloroflexota bacterium. RNAcentral describes it as "Chloroflexi bacterium partial 16S ribosomal RNA". It matches the Rfam family "Bacterial small subunit ribosomal RNA", at positions 355 to 776 of the family's 1533-position model. Lineage: Bacteria; Bacillati; Chloroflexota. The record is from RNAcentral.
UGGGGAAUAUUGCACAAUGGGCGCAAGCCUGAUGCAGCCAUGCCGCGUGUAUGAAGAAGGCCUUCGGGUUGUAAAGUACUUUCAGCGGGGAGGAAGGGAGUAAAGUUAAUACCUUUGCUCAUUGACGUUACCCGCAGAAGAAGCACCGGCUAACUCCGUGCCAGCAGCCGCGGUAAUACGGAGGGUGCAAGCGUUAAUCGGAAUUACUGGGCGUAAAGCGCACGCAGGCGGUUUGUUAAGUCAGAUGUGAAAUCCUCGGGCUCAACCUGGGAACUGCAUCUGAUACUGGCAAGCUUGAGUCUCGUAGAGGGGGGUAGAAUUCCAGGUGUAGCGGUGAAAUGCGUAGCGAUCUGGAGGAAUACCGGUGGCGAAGGCGGCCCCCUGGACGAAGACUGACGCUCAGGUGCGAAAGCGUGGGGAGCAAACAGG